This 345-nucleotide ribosomal RNA is filed under the name uncultured bacterium. RNAcentral describes it as "bacterial SSU rRNA". It matches the Rfam family "Bacterial small subunit ribosomal RNA", at positions 8 to 334 of the family's 1533-position model. The record is from RNAcentral.
AGAGUUUGAUUAUGGCUCAGGACGAACGCUGGCGGCGUGCUUAACACAUGCAAGUCGAGCGGGGAUUAUGGUGGAAAUUCUUCGGGAUGGAAGCUGUAAUUCUAGCGGCGGACGGGUGAGUAACGCGUGAACAAUCUGUCCCAGACAGGGGGAUAACAGAUGGAAACAUCUGCUAAUACCGCAUAAGACCACGGGGUCGCAUGGCCUUGAGGUAAAAGGAGCAAUCCGGUCUGGGGUGAGUUCGCGUCCGAUUAGCUAGUUGGCGAGGUAACGGCCCACCAAGGCGACGAUCGGUAGCCGACCUGAGAGGGUGAUCGGCCACAUUGGAACUGAGAGACGGUCCAA